GACGUAGGGGGCCAGCGUUGCUCGGAAUUACUGGGUGUAAAGGGUUCGUAGGCGGUGUGGCAAGUCGGGAGUGAAAUCUCUGGGCUCAACCCAGAGUCUGCUUCCGAAACUGCUGUGCUUGAGUGUGGGAGAGGCGCGUGGAAUUGCAGGUGUAGCGGUGAAAUGCGUAGAUAUUGGGAGGAACACCAGUGGCGAAGGCGGCUCACUGGACCGGUUCUGACGCUGAGGCGCGAAAGCGUGGGGAGCAAACGGG
RNAcentral lists this ribosomal RNA (253 nucleotides) under uncultured bacterium. Its description in RNAcentral is "partial 16S ribosomal RNA". It matches the Rfam family "Bacterial small subunit ribosomal RNA", at positions 524 to 776 of the family's 1533-position model. The record is from RNAcentral.